AAGUCGUAACAAGGUAACCGUAGGUGAACCUGCGGUUGGAUCAUUAACAAUGGUUUUCAAACCUCUAUUCUGUGCACUGUAUUGUUCUUGGUGUUUUCCGCCUCUUUCUUUGGAGAGGAGCGGAGGCACCGACAUUUUUAAACCAUGUAUUGUAUCGAGUCUUGAAUUUGUAUUAAAAUGAAAAACUUUUGACAACGGAUCUCUUGGCUCUC
RNAcentral lists this unclassified non-coding RNA (212 nucleotides) under fungal sp. RNAcentral's name for it is "partial internal transcribed spacer region". The stretch from base 1 to 46 matches the Rfam family "Eukaryotic small subunit ribosomal RNA", at positions 1786 to 1831 of the family's 1831-position model. The record is from RNAcentral. Lineage: Eukaryota; Fungi.